Molecule: ribosomal RNA, 490 nt
Filed under: uncultured Corynebacterium sp.
Lineage: Bacteria; Bacillati; Actinomycetota; Actinomycetes; Mycobacteriales; Corynebacteriaceae
Description: partial 16S ribosomal RNA
Source: RNAcentral
CACGUAGUUAGCCGGUGCUUCUUAUCUAGGUACCGUCACAAAAAGCUUCGUCCCUAGCGAAAGGAGUUUACAACCCGAAGGCCGUCGUCCCCCACGCGGCGUCGCUGCAUCAGGCUUGCGCCCAUUGUGCAAUAUUCCCCACUGCUGCCUCCCGUAGGAGUCUGGGCCGUAUCUCAGUCCCAAUGUGGCCGUCCACCCUCUCAGGCCGGCUACCCGUCGCCGCCUUGGUAGGCCAUUACCCCACCAACAAGCUGAUAGGCCGCGAGCUCAUCCUACACCGAAAAAACUUUCCAACCAUCACACUAAAAAUGGCUCCUAUCCGGUAUUAGACCCAGUUUCCCAGGCUUAUCCCGAAGUGCAGGGCAGAUCACCCACGUGUUACUCACCCGUUCGCCACUCGAGUACCCUGCAAGCAGGGCCUUUCCGUUCGACUUGCAUGUGUUAAGCACGCCGCCAGCGUUCGUCCUCGUAGCCGAGGAGUCAAAACUCU